GGAAUUUUGGACAAUGGGCGCAAGCCUGAUCCAGCAAUGCCGCGUGAGUGAAGAAGGCCUUCGGGUUGUAAAGCUCUUUUGUCAGGGAAGAAACGGUGAGGGCUAAUAUCCCUUGCUAAUGACGGUACCUGAAGAAUAAGCACCGGCUAACUACGUGCCAGCAGCCGCGGUAAUACGUAGGGUGCAAGCGUUAAUCGGAAUUACUGGGCGUAAAGCGUGCGCAGGCGGUUUUGUAAGUCUGAUGUGAAAUCCCCGGGCUCAACCUGGGAAUUGCAUUGGAGACUGCAAGGCUAGAAUCUGGCAGAGGGGGGUAGAAUUCCACGUGUAGCAGUGAAAUGCGUAGAUAUGUGGAGGAACACCGAUGGCGAAGGCAGCCCCCUGGGUCAAGAUUGACGCUCAUGCACGAAAGCGUGGGGAGCAAACAGGAUUAGAUACCCCAG
Molecule: ribosomal RNA, 440 nt
Filed under: uncultured Janthinobacterium sp.
Lineage: Bacteria; Pseudomonadati; Pseudomonadota; Betaproteobacteria; Burkholderiales; Oxalobacteraceae
Description: bacterial SSU rRNA
Rfam family: Bacterial small subunit ribosomal RNA
Source: RNAcentral